Long non-coding RNA from Gallus gallus (chicken), 4901 nucleotides. The record is from Ensembl. NCBI's taxonomy places the organism in Eukaryota, Metazoa, Chordata, Aves, Galliformes, Phasianidae.
UAUUACUUAUCAGAGCAUUUUGUGGAUGAAUAAUAACCACAGGGCAAGACCUAUGACCUUAAUAAGAACCUUCAACGAAUUUUAGAGUAAUUUGUGCCUCUUGCGGAGUGGUCUUUUAGAGCUCUACUGUUCUGAACAGAAACUUGAUCCCAGCUCCCUUUAGGUACUGGAAGGAUUUACUGUAUUUGACUCCAGCUAAUUUCUCCAGAAUGGGUUGGAUAUGCUUGCCUCCCAGCCAGGCCUGUGCAUUUAUCUCUUUCUGCUUUCUAGCAUUCAUCAAAAGCAUCAUAGUUUUGUCAAUUAAUUCUAAACUACUACAGAUGCAAAGAGCACAAUAAGACUUCGAUAGAGCAAAUUCUGAGCUACAGAGCACUAUUUUUCAACAGUUACCACCAUUAGCUAAACAUUUUCACCAGUCUUGAUUAUUUGUCCAGGUUCCAGGAAAUCUAGAAGGUUCACCCCUUUCCUGUCCCAGAAGAAACUUUACUUGCUGAAGGCUGCAUCCUGAACUUUUUGUUUGAUGAGGAAUUCAUGUCACCACUCCAUGGACUGCUGUUUUGACUCUGGCUUGUAGUGGUGACACCAUGGCUCAUCACUGGUACGAUGUACGAUGUACGAUCCAGGGAACUGUAACCUUCAGCCUCAUAUUGGUUCAAUAGAUCCUGACAAACUUGCAUAAGCUAUUCCUUCUUUUCCUCUGUGAGCAUUUGUUGGACCCAUCUGGUUGAAACUUUGCAGUAUUCCAAAGGUGCCACCAUAGUUUCCUAUUCAUCAAAGCUGAUAUUCAUCUCUGUAUACACUUCUCUGAUUGUAAUUCCCAAUUUGCUGAUCGAGAUGGUCUUUAUUUCAUGGUGUGACAGUUAUUCAUGGCUAUCCAGAACAUGGAUUGUCUUUCAUGUUUCUGUCACCACUGCUGAAAUGUACCACCCACAACCCCACUUUCCUAACAUCUACUGUUUGUUCUCCAUAAAUGAUGGGCAAGUGUCAAUGGAUGUCAAUAGGUGCAAUUAUUCCUCAUGUAGAAAUUCAAUUACAUAUCUCUUUGUCAGCUGUCAUUUUGUCAGACUGCCCCUCUAAGGGAAUAUUGGUGGGAAUAUUCAACCUCUAUUGCCAUACCCCCAACAUUUGCCUCUGACUUUGUGGGCCAAUAUAAUAAAAUAGGAGACAUUCCUUUUGGAGCCUUCAUACAUAAUCUGAGAGUAAAAAAACAGUUCCCAUUUACUUGGUACAUAAGUGCAUAAAAAUUUCAAGAUAAAUAAUAGUUGUCUAAUUACAUGUCCACAUGCAUUUUUACUGCCAGAAAGAAUAUUCUAACACUCCAUUUUUUGCCCUUUGACAUACAAGUAAUUUUCAACCCAAAAAACUGUGGUCCUGUCUAAUAUGGCUCCCACUCAAGUCAGUAAGGCUAAACUGUGGCUUAAGACUGGUCCACCAUCCAGUAAUCUUCUCAGUUCAGAAUGCUGUGUGUAUUCAUACAUACCUACUGGCUUGAGUUAGCCAGAGAAUAUAAACUAUCCCGAGUAUGAGACAUGCCAAUUCAGGAUUAAUAGAUGAAAACUGAAGGUACCAUUUUGAGCAUGAAACUGCUUGUUCCAAAAUCGUACUUGCGUUUUUAAAUAAAAUUACUUUAAAAGAUUAUUUUAAAAAUAAUUGUAAGCCAGAGAUUCCAUAUUCAAGGACACAAGGAAAACUACAGAGAAAUGUGUUCUUUCAUACUUUUUUAAAAAAAUCUGAUAUUCAUAUUAAUUGGAACAUUUCACAAGAAAUAAGUCUAAUUUUGCAAAAGGGAAUUCUGGUAUUAAUUGGAGUUAUUCUUAUCAACACUGUGUUCUGUUUACAGAAAAUUCUUUUACAGUUUUGGUUCUCAGCUUAGUAACUCUUAAAUGUUACAUGCACUACCUAAACGCAAAUAAAGCUACAGGUUCUAUAUAACUAGAUAGUAAUAGUUUUCCAGUAAAUUUCAACAAAGUCUCAGUAUUUGAUGUCACUGAAAUGCCAUUUUUAUAUCCUCUAAUUCCAUUUCUCUUUGGUACUUAUUAAAUAAAAAAACCACUCAUUUAUAUCCCUUCCUAUAGAUCCUUCCAAAACAAGCAAAUUCUAUAGAGAAACUAUGAAGUCAGAGCUGUUUUAAGGAAAUCUAAUUAGGCAAAUAUACUUCGGUUUCCCCUAAUGAAGCUGUAACAGUAUAUAUUAGAAGGCAGAGUAUGAAUGAUUUUAGUUUUGCUGGUUUUGAUUACUGGUAAUUUAACUUGAGUUCAAGUAUGUUUGAACUUUCAAUAGCAAGGAAAAUGCCAAUGUUUUGAAGGGAAGCUGUGGUUGUUUCAGUGCCCAAGUUCAGAAUAUUCAUAUAAAGAACAAAUAGAAUAUUUUCAAAAUUGAAGAGGGAAAACAAUUCCCAUUAAAGGAAAGUAUGGAAUUCACAAUGAUCUAGGAACAAUUAAUUUUCCCACCUUUUGUAUACAGAAACACUCUUGUUCAUUGGAAUGAACCACUGGAGAAAGGCAGACUAAAUUUCAGAAGUCAAUCACUGAAAAAUUUAAAGACAAUCCAGAAGUAAUCUCUCUGCUGUUACAUUAUAGGUUAUAAAGAAAGGCAAAAGAAAGCGUUUUUGAAAAAUAUGCAGAAAAAUGAUGAUAUUUUCUGCUACUUAUUUAAGGAACCUGUGAAGGCUGUUACUGUAAAAUCAUAUGUUUUAAGAUGUAAAAAUUCUGGUAGAAGAAAAUAACCACAACAAUAUUAAAAACUAAAAAACAAAACAAACAAAAACGCUAAUCCACUAACACAGAUUUAGUGUCUGUAAUAUCAAAAUUAGCAUAUAUUUUGCACUUCACUUUUUAAUUGAUUUAACUUUAGUAAAAGAUUCUGAUGCUUGGUAGAUUAUUUCAAAUGUGUGAAUCCUUUUGAAAAUAAAAGCAGGAUUUCAUUCAAACUAUAUUACCUUUCUGAACCUGAUUAUUUUUGGCUGCUCAAUCAUAAUAUAUAUUAUCUGUCUAUCUAUUAUGUCUGCAUAUAUAUAUAAGGACCUAACUAAAAAGAAAAUCUGUGCUAGCUCUUAGAGACUGUGAAGUCAUGAAGUUCAUUUCAUCAGUGAUAUUUUAAACUGAGAAACUCAAAAAGUGUACAACAAAUAUGAGGUCAAGUCAGGAACAUUAUCAUAUGCUUACCUUAGGCAUUUUGAGUUUGUGUAUAGACUAAAUAAUUCCUGCGGCCUUAUCAAGGGUUUCUUGUCUAUCCUCUGGGCAAGAAGAAAAGAAAUCUAGAAAUAUUUUUCAGUAUGUUUCAAGACCAUAUUUUAAUUGGCAGAGAAGGAAUAAUUAAAAUAGCAUUGAUUUGGCUUUGUCGUUAGCACCUCACUGCCAUGUGACAACAGCUAUAUAGGCAGCCAUUAGAGUCUAUUGGUAUCUAUUGUGCUUCUGUAACUAAGUGGGGAAUAUCUGGCAACAAUGAGCCAUCAGAAACUGGGCCCACUGCAGUUGCAAGUAAUUGUUAAUCUAACACAUCAUCUUUUAAAACUGUGGCUGCUAUGGAUUUGCAUUGGUUUUGAGUUCUGUAGUAAAAACAGGUUAAAAUAAAUGAAAGUUUCAAUAUGUAAAUUCUUCACAAGAGUCCUGUGGUAAUUCUGUCCUUGGGUGAGAAUUGUCUUCACUUUCUUUGAUUUCCUACAUGCAUUUGAAAUUUGGAAACACUUUAAGGAAGAGACUGUGUCUCUUAUUAGUAGUGCAUUAGCUAGAGUCAUUAGGCACUGCUAACAACAACAAAAGAUAAUUAUUUCUGGUAUAAAAAUAUUUACUCUCAUACAUUUGGUUGGAGAUAUUAAGAUAGAAAGUGUUAGUGUACACUUCAAUAACUAUCUUCAUAACAAAAAGCAAGAGGUUACUUUCUAAGAAGUUAAGCUAAAUAUUCAGAAAACAGUAGAUACUGUACUCAGUUAUUACUCAGUAAUACAGUACAGUUACUGUACUGUAUUAAAAUAGCUGAAUCUUCAGCGUUUUAUGAUUGCAGGUUCCCAUCAGCCCAGCAGAAAAUCAUCAAAAUAGAUGGAAAUAGGAUAUGCUGCAGUCUGCAAGUAGCUGUCUUUUUAUUAGCCCCUUAAUAAUCCAUCCACAGUGUGCUGCUGUAAUGAAACAGAAAUUCUUUGUUGUUGUUGUAUUUGUUUUUUCAGAAGGAAAUCAUUUUGUGAUCAUACACAGCCCUUCAGUAUGCAAUAAAUGUGGUUGCCAAAAGCAUUCUGUUCCUUACUUUUGUUUCAAGUUUUCUUAGAGUUAACUUAGUGCCAAAGGCACCAGACUGUCAGUACAGGAAUAUGAGGCCUGAAAACUGAAGUCCUCUGUUUAUUCACAGAAUGGUUGCAUUAUGUGUCUGAUUUUGCUAUCCUGUCAUUGUCACGUGCUAGUAGCAAGAUCCAUUAAUGUAAGGGUAAGACAUAUUUCCUCAAUAAAAAUCUCUGUUGAGACUACAAGCAAUCACAACUGCCAUUAUCUAUUGUAAUGACAUUUUUAAUUUUGCAAAUGCCCAGCUAUUAAAGCAGGACUAAAAAAAGUGUUCUAAUUUUACAUAUCUGUGUUAACAAUUGUCCAAGAAUAAAAAUCUUGAGGGAAAGGAUUUUAAAAUUACAUGAAAUUUUCAUAAUUAAGAAAUUAAUUCCCACUGCAAAAGGGAGCAGCAUAGAAUCCAACUUCAAGCCUUGAGGUGACUAGACACAUGGCUUUAAGAAAUCACUAGGGAAGACCUACACAGGAAUAAAUAUUAUACAUCCUGUGAGGCUUAUUAUGUCAAUUCCUUUUUUGACUUCUAAUGAGAAGAAAAGUACCUUCCAUCUCUGUGGCUCAGUAGUCUUCCUGCCAGUAUGACUCUUGAAUUUCCAUAAAGCAGAAGAACAUUACAGUGGAUGAAGAUUUCUU